RNAcentral lists this ribosomal RNA (284 nucleotides) under uncultured archaeon. RNAcentral's name for it is "partial 16S ribosomal RNA". It matches the Rfam family "Archaeal small subunit ribosomal RNA", at positions 345 to 630 of the family's 1478-position model. The record is from RNAcentral.
AACCUUUACAAUGCACGCAAGUGCGAUAAGGGGACCCCGAGUGUUGGUGCCUAGCAUCAACUGUCUAACUGCUUAAAAAACAGUUAUUAGCAAGAGCCGGGUAAGAUCGGUGCCAGCCGCCGCGGUAAUACCCGCAGCCCAAGUGGUGAUCGUUAUUAUUGGGUUUAAAACGUCCGUAGCUGAUCUAGUAAAUUCCUGGGUAAAUCGAAUUGCUUAACAAUCGGAAUUCCGGGGAGACUGCUAGACUUGGGACCGGAAGAGGUCAGAAGUACUUCCGGGGUAGG